UACGGAGGGCGCAAGCGUUGUUCGGAAUUACUGGGCGUAAAGCGCGUGUAGGCGGCCAGGUAAGUCGGAUGUGAAAUCCCGGGGCCCAACCCCGGAACUGCACUCGAUACUGCCUGGCUGGAGUCCCGGAGAGGAUGGCGGAAUUUCCGGUGUAGAGGUGAAAUUCGUAGAUAUCGGAAGGAACACCAGUGGCGAAGGCGGCCAUCUGGACGGUGACUGACGCUGAGACGCGAAAGCGUGGGGAGCAAACAGG
This 253-nucleotide ribosomal RNA is filed under the name uncultured bacterium. Its description in RNAcentral is "partial 16S ribosomal RNA". It matches the Rfam family "Bacterial small subunit ribosomal RNA", at positions 524 to 776 of the family's 1533-position model. The record is from RNAcentral.